UACGUAGGAGGCAAGCGUUGUCCGGAAUUACUGGGCGUAAAGGGCUCGUAGGCGGCCAACUAAGUCAGACGUGAAAUCCCUCGGCUUAACCGGGGAACUGCAUCUGAUACUGGAUGGCUUGAGUUCGGGAGGAGGGAUGCGGAAUUCCAGGUGUAGCGGUGAAAUGCGUAGAUAUCUGGAGGAACACCGGUGGCGAAGGCGGCAUCCUGGACCGACGACUGACGCUGAGGAGCGAAAGCCAGGGGA
Molecule: ribosomal RNA, 246 nt
Filed under: uncultured bacterium
Lineage: Bacteria
Description: partial 16S ribosomal RNA
Rfam family: Bacterial small subunit ribosomal RNA
Source: RNAcentral